CCUACGGGAGGCAGCAGUGGGGAAUUUUGGACAAUGGGCGCAAGCCUGAUCCAGCAAUGCCGCGUGAGUGAAGAAGGCCUUCGGGUUGUAAAGCUCUUUUGUCAGGGAAGAAACGGUGGGGGCUAACAUCUCUUGCUAAUGACGGUACCUGAAGAAUAAGCACCGGCUAACUACGUGCCAGCAGCCGCGGUAAUACGUAGGGUGCAAGCGUUAAUCGGAAUUACUGGGCGUAAAGCGUGCGCAGGCGGUUUUGUAAGUUUGUCGUGAAAUCCCCGGGCUCAACCUGGGAAUGGCGAUGAAGACUGCAAGGCUAGAAUCUGGCAGAGGGGGUAGAAUUCCACGUGUAGCAGUGAAAUGCGUAGAGAUGUGGAGGAACACCGAUGGCGAAGGCAGCCCCCUGGGUCAAGAUUGACGCUCAUGCACGAAAGCGUGGGGAGCAAACAGGAUUAGAUACCCUGGUAGUCCACGCCCUAAACGAUGUCUACUAGUUGUCGGGUUUUAAUUAACUUGGUAACGCAGCUAACGCGUGAAGUAGACCGCCUGGGGAGUACGGUCGCAAGNUUAAAACUCAAAGGAAUUGACGG
RNAcentral lists this ribosomal RNA (584 nucleotides) under uncultured bacterium. Its description in RNAcentral is "bacterial SSU rRNA". It matches the Rfam family "Bacterial small subunit ribosomal RNA", at positions 338 to 916 of the family's 1533-position model. The record is from RNAcentral.